Long non-coding RNA from Neomonachus schauinslandi (Hawaiian monk seal), 209 nucleotides. RefSeq lists it as uncharacterized. The record is from RefSeq and is a predicted model, not a curated record. NCBI's taxonomy places the organism in Eukaryota, Metazoa, Chordata, Mammalia, Carnivora, Phocidae. The transcript has 3 exons.
GGAUGUCCCACCAGGAUGGUCUUGCUUAGAUGCAAGUAUUCUCUGCAUAGUGCUGUGCGCAAGGAUAAAGAAAAUGAGAUAAAGAUGGACCAUCUGGGAAGGCCAGGCUGUCCUCCGGAGUCAUCAAGGAGAGAAGUUCUGGGAAGGAAGGAAGAUGGGAUGGGAAGAGAUCCCUCACUACUUGUGAGGGUAGCAAGAGAGCCCAGGGG